GCAGCCACUCAUUCAAAGAGUGCGUAAUAGCUCACUGGUCGAGUGAUCCUGCGCCGAAGAUUUCCGGGGCUAAAACUUACUACCGAAGCUACGGCAUCAGUAAUGAUGGGUAGGGGAGCUUCCCAUACGGGUUGAAGCAUGACCGUAAGGACAUGUGGACAGUAUGGGAGUGAGAAUGUUGGCAUGAGUAGCGAGAUGUGGGUGAGAAUCCCACAGGCCGUAAACCCAAGGUUUCCAGGGGAAGGUUCGUCCGCCCUGGGUUAGUCGGGACCUAAGCUGAGGCCGAAAGGCGUAGGUGAUGGACAACAGGUUGAUAUUCCUGUACUACCGAUAACCGUUUGAGAGAUGGGAUGACACAGUAGGAUAAGCUAAGCACACUGUUGGUUAUGUGUGCCCAAGCAUUGAGGCAGUCAAAGUAGGUAAAUCCGCUUUGAUAAUGCUGGGAUGUGAUGGGGAGCGAAAUUUAGUAGCGAAGUAGCUGAUUUCACACUGUCAAGAAAAGGCGCUAUCGAGGUUAAAGGGACCCGUACCGCAAACCGACACAGGUGGGUGAGGAGAGUAUCCUAAGGCCAGCGAGAGAACUGUUGUUAAGGAACUCGGCAAAAUGACCCCGUAACUUAGGGAUAAGGGGUGCCACCAUCAGGUGGCCGCAGAGAAUAGGCCCAAGCGACUGUUUACCAAAAACAUAGGUUUCUGCUAAGUCG
This 704-nucleotide ribosomal RNA is filed under the name Clostridioides difficile. Its description in RNAcentral is "bacterial LSU rRNA". It matches the Rfam family "Bacterial large subunit ribosomal RNA", at positions 1112 to 1833 of the family's 2925-position model. Lineage: Bacteria; Bacillati; Bacillota; Clostridia; Peptostreptococcales; Peptostreptococcaceae. The record is from RNAcentral.